UCUGCUCCCAGCAGCCAUUGUACACUGUUGAACACCGAGAAGGUUUGCUCGGCUACGCCCUAAGAUUCUACGAUUUGCCAAGUUUAAACGCAAAAAUUUUGCCUUUUUAAAGGGAGUUCUUGCCCGAUUGCGGCCCAGGCGUUGAGAAAUAUCUCUCAGCUUCGAUUUGACCGUUUCGCUACGUAAUUCAGUGGCGAACGGUUGCUGAAAAUCGAAAGCAAUGGAUUGCUGCUUGAACGAGGAGAGAAGAGAAAGAAAAAGAAUUAAUAAUGAAAUYGAGAAGCAGAUUAGACAAGACAAGAGAAACCAGCGGAGAGAGUUAAAGCUUCUUCUGCUAGGUACUGGGGAGUCGGGCAAAAGUACAUUCAUAAAACAAAUGCGAAUUAUUCACGGUCAAGGAUACAGCGACGAAGAUAAAAGGGGAUACAUACCUCUCGUAUACCAAAAUGUGAUCACUGCUAUGCACAGUUUGACCCGGGCAAUGGAAACACUUAAAAUACCAUACAAAGACUCGUCAAACCCGGAACGAGCAAACUACAUUAGAACAGUCGAUCCUAAAAAUGUAACAACGUUUGAAAAAGAGUACUACGAGGCAACGAAAAAUCUCUGGGCUGACGCCGGCAUGCAAGAGUGUUACGAUCGGCGAAGAGAGUAUCAACUGAGCGACUCGGCAAAAUACUAUCUAACAGAUUUGGACCGCUUAGCAAAACCAGAUUACCUACCUACAGAGCAAGAUGUUCUGCGAGCUAGAGCCCCUACAUCUGGGAUYAUUGAAUACCCCUUCGACCUGGAGACCAUCAUCUUCAGAAUGGUAGAUGUUGGAGGGCAAAGGUCUGAGAGACGUAAGUGGAUUCAUUGCUUUGAAAAUGUGACGUCAAUCAUGUUCUUAGUGGCACUUAGUGAGUACGACCAAGUUCUUGUGGAGUCCGACAGCGAGAAUCGUAUGGAAGAAAGUAAGGCACUAUUCCGGACCAUUAUUACCUAUCCGUGGUUUCAGAAUUCAUCGAUUAUACUUUUCCUUAACAAGAAGGAUCUGUUAGAAGAGAAGAUUAUGUUUUCCCACUUGUCAGACUACUUUCCAGAAUUUGAUGGUCCACAGUGUGACGCCCAGGCAGCCCGUGAGUUUAUUCUUAAAAUGUUUGUUGAUCUAAACCCAGAUACAGACAAGAUAAUCUAUUCUCAUUUUACUUGUGCGACCGACACUGAAAACAUUCGUUUUGUAUUCGCGGCAGUAAAAGACACGAUCCUGCAGCUUAAUCUUAAGGAAUAUAACUUAGUGUAAGGCUGUAUUAGGUGGGUAAUUUAUAUGCAAAACUCUUUAAAAAACAUCUGAAAUCUUGGUGCUAUCAAGAUUGAUGAUAUCGGGGUCAUAACGGUCAUUCUCCCCACAAUUCUCUUGUAAUUAGCUCAUAUGAAUUGUUCCCAGUACUGGCCUUCAGUUAUUUAUGGUCGAGCAAAGUUUUUUAUCUUUUACCGACGUGAUUCCAUUUAGUACCUAACAGACUUAAUGACAGUUAAACUAGAGAAUAUAUUUACCAUAUUGUCUGAUCAACUAGAAUUCUAAGUUUUUGCUGUGUAAUAACUUACAGAGGCCAAACGAAUGCCCCCAGAAUCAACGUAGAUGUACUGAAGGAUUUCCCUAGAUUUUUUUUGUUCUUUGUUGUUGAAAUCAGCCUUGGUCUGAAAGGCUGAGUAUUUCGCCUGCAGUCACUGAAACUCCCUCAUAAAGGUUUACUUUACUAUUUAAGUAAAUACAGGGUUCACAGCAAGUAUAACCUAUAGAUGAUCAUGCAUAUAAAAAAAAGUAAGAAAUAAUGUAAAGCUUACCGUCUACUUAAAGUUCACACUUUGGCCGCUAUUAUUGUAGUUAGACUUAGAAUUUCUGAUUCUUUAGUAGAUGAAUUAUUAUCAUUAAUAAUAUUAUUAUUAUUCACGUAAAAAAAGGUUUUUUCCAUCCGAAAGAUAUCGUCUUUGAAUUUUUUAAACUUGCCAGGACUUUUCAGUUCUUUUCUCGUUCUCGAGACCGAUUUGCGCAUCCAGGCCUUUCAUUGAAGGCACCAUUUUCAAGCCGUKCAAGAGUAUAGUGGCCCUAUAUGAUGUCCCUAUAAAAGGCGGCGUCACAAUGCCCAGACGUGGUAUUCAUAUGGUGCCCUUGUAGAAUGUCCCUGGGKUUUUUUCUAUGGCCCUAUAUAUAGUGCCCUAGUGUCCACGCAAGAUGUAACCUAUAUCAAGUGUUUACACAGUGUUUCAAAUAGUGUCCUCAUAUAGGGUCACUAUAAGGCAUCCUUUAGGUUCCCCACCGUGGUGUCCUAUAUAGUGCCUAAAUACGGUGUUCUCUUGCAACKGCACAACACUAUAUGUCCCUUUUGAAAUGGCCCAUCAUUUUGCUUGCUUACUUUUUUUUAAUCAUCGGCUUUUUUUCCCGGCAAUUGAAAACAUGUUUCGUCUUACUCUCUCRUCAAUUGAUUAAGUCUUCUAGAGCACACUUGAUUAAGUCUUCUAAAGCACUAACAUUGAUUGGAGCCAUGAAAUAACAAGUCGUACAAUAUAUAUAUAUAAAGCAGUGGUUAAGUGUGGGUGUUUGUACUCGAUGAAUUAGCCUAGCUUUAUUGUAACAAAAAAGAUUGUCAGAAUUCAUUAGCUUAGAGUAAAAAAAAGAUGUACUGUAUUUUAGUCGCAAUUGGUACAUUCACCCAUUUCCAAACCCAUCUGAACAGCCAACACGUGCUUUUACCCAUAAUACUUUGCGCAGACUUCGGAAAAGGAAUUUCGUUUUAAAUCAUAUUAUUCCAUGUUUGUACAUUUCUUGAUGUUAUUGUAGACAGUAAAUAAGUUGAUUUAUUUUAGAAUCGCAGAGUUUUAUCAAAAGAUGUCGUCAUUUUGCAAUGCAUUGYGGACCAUUUAUGUUUGCAAAGCAUUGUGGUCUAGUGUUCAGUGCAAAGUAUUAUGGGAAGGGUAUARAUUGAUAUCCUUAUUUCAAUAAGGUGAAAAGUCACACUUAUAAUUGAAAGCCAAAAAGUACAUUUAACGUAGAAAGAGAUAUUAUUCAAGGGUUAUUUUUUGGUGCUCUGUUCAAUGGAAGUGUCAUAAGUCGCCAUAGAUUCCAUAGCCUCACGUGUACAAAAUAAGAAAAAUCCAGAUGAUAAUUAAAUAAGAAACUAUCUUACGAAUGUAUGUUAAAAAAGUAAGUGCGUUGUUUGGAGAAGUCAAAACAGAUUAUUUCCCUUUUUAGAGUGAUAUUCGUUUAAGCGAAACUCGAAAUCGAAAAGGGAAUGUAUAAAAAAAUGAGAAAUGACAAAAUAAAAGUCUUUUGUUGUGUUA
This is an RNA transcript of Exaiptasia diaphana, 3321 nucleotides long. It is a transcript of the gene named guanine nucleotide-binding protein G(q) subunit alpha, with no coding region annotated. NCBI's taxonomy places the organism in Eukaryota, Metazoa, Cnidaria, Anthozoa, Actiniaria, Aiptasiidae. The record is from RefSeq and is a predicted model, not a curated record. The transcript has 8 exons.